GUGCUUGCUUCCAGAGUACAUAUACUAAAACUGGUAUGAUACAGAGAAGAUUAGCAUGGCCUCUGCACAAGAAUGCCAUACAAAGUUGUGAAGCAUUCCAUAUUUUU
Small nuclear RNA from Grammomys surdaster, 107 nucleotides. Lineage: Eukaryota; Metazoa; Chordata; Mammalia; Rodentia; Muridae. The record is from RefSeq and is a predicted model, not a curated record.